ACUCGUCACGCGAGCUCGCCGUUUGAAACCCAACGCCAGUCGCCUAUCGCGUAUUCUCUUCCGCUGAGGUGUAUCGGUGUUGCGAAAAACUGAAUACACACCUCGGCCGCGCUUCCACACAAAGACUCAUUGGUUCGUUCCCCUACGGCGAUAAAAAAAAAAAGAGAACAGCGUGUUGAGUCUACGCAGCGACGAACUCGCCUUCAGUUGACUCUGCGAACUCGUCCGAGGAGACAUGAGUGUGUUCUACCGGCUAUUCGCUCGAUCGUUCGCGACGUCCAGUGUCCGAAUUGCGAGUACGUGACGAAAACCGGGUUUGUGAACACGCAAACGCCACGUUAUGGUCGCGGAAGAGAAUUUAUUGACUGAAAUAAAAACUCGUAUUGUGUGCUAAGCCUAACAUGUGAUUAAUUUUUUUUUCUACUUUCGCCUACUGGUCGUUAGUUUUGAAGUAAGAAUGAAUAUCGAGACCCGUGUAUUCGGUUCUCGCCCUCCGUUGAUUCAGACUUUUUAAUCAGACUUUGUUUUGGCAGUGUUUCGAAUAUUUUUUUUCUAAUAGAAGGAGGCAGGUCAUUUGAAGUAAGAAGAACCUGCAAAGAAGCCAAGAACAAAUCGGAGAACAGAGGAUGGAAAACAAUCCAGUUUGGCGCAUGCUGCCGAAGGCGUGCAUUGCCAGCGGGAAGAGCUCUCCCAUCUGCAGUUUGGCCACAGCGUCGAGCGAGCCGAAAACAACUCUACGGACAUUCCUCGCCCCCUUGGGAAAGCCUCCGGUUGCCGCCAAACAACGCGGAGAUGUCGUUCGCUGCAGCGUCGAGGAUCAAACUCUCCCGAUCAUCCGCGAGGCUGAGGAACCCAACAAAGGAAGACUGGAAGAGUUCUUGCUCACGGAUUUGCGAGCGUUUAAAGCCAAGGACUGGAAGGAUUUCGCCUGGUUACUGGACGUGCAAGAAGAAUCUCGUGCGGUGCUACCGCUGGCCUCGACUCGGCCCCCGUCGAUGGAUAGACGAAGAGAGCCUUUCCCUUCGUCGGUAACGCCAUUCCCGAAGACGCCGCUACAACCGCCAACCAACACAUCGUCACCUCCGCGAAGAACAACUCCCCCGCCCUCGUCUACAUCACCUGCAACGCUCUUAUCAACGCCGACUCCAAUACCUUCACCACCACCACCCCCAAUACUCUCGCCACUAUCUCCAUCACCAUCGUCUCCGCAUUCACCACAACUAACACAGUCACUUGCACCAGGAUUUGUCCAACCCCUUCCAGAAUUGUCGUCACCAUGGCCUUCACUCCUCCAGUCACCACCACCACCUCCACUGUCCCCAUUACCAUCGUCUUCGUCACCCCUACCUACCCUUCCUUCACCUUCGCUGGCAACCUCAUCCCCACCACCCUCACCACUGCCAGUGCACAUAAAUCUUCUGUACACAGACUUCUUUAACAUUCUGUCUACCAUCUCGGAGUACAGGAAUCCGCAGUUGGAGGAAGAACUCAGGGUCCUCGGCUCGUUCAAGCAUGUUGACUGGUAAACCUUUCAGUAGGGUUAGAGUAAACUAGUAGUGAAAUGCUUUCCACGAUGACUACUUUUAUGUCAGUAUGCUUGUGUAACAUUGUUUUCUGAGUUACAGUUUUCAUUAUAAUUAAUAAAUAUUUUGUUUACAGUAUACCAGUAAUUGAAAACAUGGUUUAAGUGUGUUAGUUUUGUAAAGCGUACUUUAGUAUUCAUACUGUAGAUCAAUUGUGCCAAACAAAAUAAUAGAUUGAGUGUGAACUUUAUAUCUGUACGAUUAUUUUUCUAAACACAAGUUUUGUAAAUACUCUUCACGUAAUAUUUUAUUCUGAAUGUUCAGGUUAGAGUAUUGAGUAUUUUAAUGUAAGUUGACUUCAGACUUUCAAUAUAUCCUAAAAGUUCGAGUAAGUUAUUUAGUAGCAAACCAUCCAAUUUUAAUCAAAACGAAUGGGUUGGAAUCUAAACAUAACUGUAUAUUAUGAUUAGAAUAAUUCAGUGAUAUUUCCCUUCAGGUAGUUGAUUUCUUCAGUUAAAUGUAUUGUGAAUUUGAACAAUUAUGUUUUUUGAGAACUUUGAUUACUGAUGUUGUUACAAGCGCAUAAUGAAAUUUACUACAAUUUUUAUGUAAGAUAGUUAACAGUGACGAAAUAACUCUGGUAGUUGUAUUACGUUCAAGUGAUUUAAUACAUGGCAUUGUGUACAAGAAACAUACCGUGAGCAACUGAUCAUACGUGUAAUAGUUUCGUCAGUUUGUAUUAAACUAGUUGAGCUCAGGAAAACCUCAAAACAAUUUGAGUCAAGAAACCUGCUUGUUGUACUGAACUGACAGAUGUCAUACACAUAAAUUUAGAUAAUGGAAAAAAAAAUCCCAGAAAAAUAAGCAGGAAUAUGCCUUUAAUAUACGUACUAUACUGUACAGUGUUUAAAUAAACUUUUCUUUCAGUAGGGUUAGGGUAAACUAGUAGUGAAUUGGUUUCUACAAUGACUACUUUUAUGUCAGUAGGUUUGAAUGAUAUUGUUUUCUGUAACACUUUUCUUAAUAAUUAAUAAAAAAAUUGUACAGUA
Molecule: long non-coding RNA, 2572 nt
Organism: Bacillus rossius redtenbacheri
Lineage: Eukaryota; Metazoa; Arthropoda; Insecta; Phasmatodea; Bacillidae
Exons: 2
Source: RefSeq, a predicted model, not a curated record